This 177-nucleotide unclassified non-coding RNA is filed under the name uncultured fungus. Its description in RNAcentral is "partial contains 18S rRNA, ITS1, 5.8S rRNA, ITS2 and 28S rRNA". The record is from RNAcentral. Lineage: Eukaryota; Fungi.
AAGGAUCAUUAGAAAGUUUCUCGAACAGAAACCCCCCCGUGUACCUCUUCCAACUUUGCUUCCCGCGCUUCCGGGCGCGGGCAGAGACCACCCCUUCCAAACCCUUCCGGAACAGAAGUCUGACACGAGGAAAGACAGUAAAAGUUAAAACUUUCAACAACGGAUCUCUUGGUUCUC